UUUCAACCCAAAUUAUUCUGUUUCUUUGAGCUUUUAAAUGCAUUGAUAACAAUUUACAGUAGAUGUUGCUUGUCCUUUUGGGAGUAAAUGUAGUUACCUGCCUGCUUUUUCAACCACAUGCUGAUAAUAAAAUACCUUCUGACAACAUAACAUGAUUUUCUUUCAAUCUCAAAAAAAAAGGAUGCUUAUCUCUCUUUAAACAACCUCAUUUCCAAACUAGUUUUAUUUUGUAUUUCAAAAAAGUUUUACAAAGUCAAGUUUCAGAAUCUUUACAGUCAUUCAUGCAACUGCAAGCAUGUAUUCAUGAUUGCUAACUGGUAUUUUCAAGGGAGCCUCUGCUAAGGAAUAAGGUUGCCAAUGCUGCAGGAGCGAGCUGCCAAUACCUGCUCUUGACUCAGCACACCUGGUUGGAAAGCUUUGAAGAUCUCAAAUUGCAUUUCUCUCUUCAUCUGCGGGCGAUUAUCUCAACACUGGGGAACGUGACCCAGAGAGACAGAUGGUGCUCCCUGUGCCUUCUGCAAUCUCACCACCACUAAGAAUGACUGUUCAGAAAGGACUGAACCUCGCAGCAGCCCUGUAAAAGACAACCUUAAAGGACAGACUUCAACACAGCCAAAAUUUACUCGAAAACGAGGAAUAUGUAGUUUUCAGGUACGCUUAGCAAGUUGUGCCAAGGUAAACAGCUAUAAGUUAGUUACUGGAAUUCCUACUGAGAACCAAAAAAGCCACAGAAAAUGAACUUCCAGAGAGGGAUUCCUCAAAGAGUACAUUGGAACAGGACUGGGCUAUAUUGGCAGGAUAGAUUUUUCCUCAUCCAUCCAGUUU
Molecule: long non-coding RNA, 825 nt
Organism: Oxyura jamaicensis (ruddy duck)
Lineage: Eukaryota; Metazoa; Chordata; Aves; Anseriformes; Anatidae
Exons: 3
Source: RefSeq, a predicted model, not a curated record